GACGAACGCUGGCGGCGUGCUUAACACAUGCAAGUCGAGCGGUAAGGCCCUUUCGGGGGUACACGAGCGGCGAACGGGUGAGUAACACGUGGGUGACCUGCCCUUAGCUCUGGGAUAAGCCUGGGAAACUGGGUCUAAUACCGGAUAUGACUCCAUGACGCAUGUUGUGGGGUGGAAAGCCUUGUGCGGCUAGGGAUGGGCCCGCGGCCUAUCAGCUUGUUGGUGGGGUGAUGGCCUACCAAGGCGACGACGGGUAGCCGGCCUGAGAGGGCGACCGGCCACACUGGGACUGAGACACGGCCCAGACUCCUACGGGAGGCAGCAGUGGGGAAUCUUGCGCAAUGGGCGAAAGCCUGACGCAGCGACGCCGCGUGGGGAUGACGGCCUCGGUUGUAACCGUA
RNAcentral lists this ribosomal RNA (401 nucleotides) under uncultured bacterium. RNAcentral's name for it is "bacterial SSU rRNA". It matches the Rfam family "Bacterial small subunit ribosomal RNA", at positions 28 to 433 of the family's 1533-position model. The record is from RNAcentral.